GUGGGAGCGAGCCUGCUCGCGAAGGCGUCAGGCCAGUCAAUAUACAUAUCGAAUGACACAUGGCUUUCGCGAGCAGGCUCGCUCCCAC
Molecule: unclassified non-coding RNA, 88 nt
Filed under: Pseudomonas umsongensis
Lineage: Bacteria; Pseudomonadati; Pseudomonadota; Gammaproteobacteria; Pseudomonadales; Pseudomonadaceae
Source: RNAcentral